UGAAGACGUGACCGGGCGCAAGCCCGAGCUGAACACCGGCGGCGGCACCUCGGACGCACGCUUCAUCACGCACUACUGCCCGGUGCUGGAAUUCGGCCUUGUCGGCCAGACCAUGCACCAGAUCGACGAACGCACGCCGGUGUCCGAUCUCGAAAAACUCACAAAGAUCUAUCGCGGCGUGCUCGAUCGCUAUUUCGCAUGAAUGACCCGGACAUGAGCGGACAUAUCGUUGUUCUUACCGCCAUCGAUACUGAACUGAACAAGGCGCGCGCGCCGGAAGGUGUCGAGGUG
This 291-nucleotide unclassified non-coding RNA is filed under the name Hevea brasiliensis (rubber tree). Lineage: Eukaryota; Viridiplantae; Streptophyta; Magnoliopsida; Malpighiales; Euphorbiaceae. The record is from RNAcentral.